UUUAAAAAUAAAAUUUGAUAAAAAAAACCAUAAAUAAACAAUGGUUAAGAAAGAGAAGACAUCUAACCUUAUAUGAGUGAAGUUACUUCAUUAGACUAUCAAACGCAAUUAAGGUGGAUUGAUUUUAUUGACAAUCUUAUGUAAAGUAAAUAAAUUACUAUUAAUUAAGAAUUUAAUCUAAUUCAUAAUAAUUUUAAUUAUCUAAGUUUUUUAAAAAAAUUAUUAGCCUUUGAUUUAAGCUUCAUAUUACAAAUAGCUAUCUAAUUGAGAGUUAAAUAAAACCUUUAGUAGGUGGUUUAUUCUACGUCACUACUACUAAUUACCUUAUCAAUAAUUAAUUAAAUCUCUUUCUAUUCUUAUGGAAAGGAACUUAAAUUUUUUACUAGUUAAUUUUAUCUUUACACAAUCCUAUCAAAAUACAAGCCACUUAAACAACUCAAAACCACUACAAUUAAAAAAAAGUUUUAUAUUAUUUUUAUUUUAUUUU
This 487-nucleotide long non-coding RNA is filed under the name Physcomitrium patens. RNAcentral describes it as "long non-coding RNA (PPAT_LNC011279)". The record is from RNAcentral. Lineage: Eukaryota; Viridiplantae; Streptophyta; Bryopsida; Funariales; Funariaceae.